AAUAUUGCACAAUGGACGCAAGUCUGAUGCAGCAAUGCCGCGUGUGUGAAGAAGGCCUUAGGGUUGUAAAGCACUUUCAGUAGGGAGGAAAAGUUCAAGGUUAAUAACCUUGGGCCCUGACGUUACCUACAGAAGAAGCACCGGCUAACUCCGUG
This 155-nucleotide ribosomal RNA is filed under the name uncultured Gammaproteobacteria bacterium. RNAcentral's name for it is "partial 16S ribosomal RNA". It matches the Rfam family "Bacterial small subunit ribosomal RNA", at positions 360 to 507 of the family's 1533-position model. Lineage: Bacteria; Pseudomonadati; Pseudomonadota; Gammaproteobacteria. The record is from RNAcentral.